Canis lupus familiaris (dog) is the source of this 322-nucleotide long non-coding RNA. RefSeq lists it as uncharacterized. The record is from RefSeq and is a predicted model, not a curated record. NCBI's taxonomy places the organism in Eukaryota, Metazoa, Chordata, Mammalia, Carnivora, Canidae. The transcript is spliced from 4 exons.
UUCCUGUUUCUGCAAAUCAAGAGUUUAUCUACCUAUACUUAGCAAAAAACUAACCCUGAAUUUGAAGAUGUACAUUUGAUAGAGGAAUGCAUGACUUCACAUGGUUCAAGUGAAGACAGUGAAAAAUAGCACUGGCCUUUCAUUCCCUCCCUCCUCUACUUGAACGUCUGGGAAAGGUUGCUAUAACAAAAUAUCACAGAGCAGGUGACUUAAAUAAAGAAUCGAAAUUCACUUCUCACAUUCUGGAGUCUGGAAGUUCAGGAUCAGAGUGCCCAAGUGGUCAGAGAUGCAGAGAGAGAGAGAGGCAGAGACACGGGCAGAG